UAUAAGUAUAAACGAUUUAAUCGUGAAACCGCGAACGGCUCAUUAUAACAGCUAUAAUUUACUUGAUCUUGACAACCUACUUGGAUAACUGUGGUAAUUCUAGAGCUAAUACAUGCACCAAAGCUCUGACCUUACGGGAAGAGCGCAUUUAUUAGAACAAAACCAAACGACUUCGGUCGUCUUUUGUUGACUCAGAAUAACUAAGCUGAUCGCACGGUCAUGUACCGGCGACGUGUCUUUCAAGUAUCUGCCUUAUCAACUUUCGAUGGUAGUGUAUCUGACUACCAUGGUGGUGACGGGUAACGGAGGAUAAGGGUUCGACUCCGGAGAAGGGGCCUGAGAAAUGGCCACUACGUCUAAGGAUGGCAGCAGGCGCGCAAAUUACCCACUCUCAGAACGAGGAGGUAGUGACGAAAAAUAACGAGACCGUUCUCUACGAGGCCGGUCAUCGGAAUGGGUACAAUUUAAA
RNAcentral lists this ribosomal RNA (469 nucleotides) under unidentified nematode Sourhope farm. Its description in RNAcentral is "SSU rRNA". It matches the Rfam family "Eukaryotic small subunit ribosomal RNA", at positions 58 to 529 of the family's 1831-position model. Lineage: Eukaryota; Metazoa; Nematoda. The record is from RNAcentral.